This 184-nucleotide unclassified non-coding RNA is filed under the name rhizosphere metagenome. Its description in RNAcentral is "partial ribosomal RNA internal transcribed spacer region". The record is from RNAcentral.
GAGUUCAUGCCCUCACGGGUAGAUCUCCCACCCUUGAAUAUUAUACCUUCGUUGCUUUGGCAGGCCGUGGAAACACCAUGGGCUCCGGCUGAUGCGUGCCUGCCAGAGGAAACAAACUCUGUUUUUAGUGAUGUCUGAGUACUAUAUAAUAGUUAAAACUUUCAACAACGGAUCUCUUGGUUCU